UGGGGAAUAUUGCGCAAUGGGGGAAACCCUGACGCAGCGACGCCGCGUGCGGGAUGAAGGCCUUCGGGUUGUAAACCGCUUUUGAUUGGGAGCAAGCUUUCGGGUGAGUGUACCUUUCGAAUAAGCGCCGGCUAACUACGUGCCAGCAGCCGCGGUAAUACGUAGGGCGCAAGCGUUAUCCGGAAUUAUUGGGCGUAAAGAGCUUGUAGGCGGUUCGUCGCGUCUGGUGUGAAAGCCCAUCGCUUAACGGUGGGUUUGCGCCGGGUACGGGCGGGCUAGAGUGCAGUAGGGGAGACUGGAAUUCCCGGUGUAACGGUGGAAUGUGUAGAUAUCGAGAAGAACACCAAUGGCGAAGGCAGGUCUCUGGGCUGUUACUGACGCUGGGAAGCGAAAGCGUGGGGAGCGAACAGG
This 411-nucleotide ribosomal RNA is filed under the name Verrucomicrobiota bacterium. RNAcentral describes it as "Verrucomicrobia bacterium partial 16S ribosomal RNA". It matches the Rfam family "Bacterial small subunit ribosomal RNA", at positions 355 to 776 of the family's 1533-position model. The record is from RNAcentral. Lineage: Bacteria; Pseudomonadati; Verrucomicrobiota.